RNAcentral lists this ribosomal RNA (254 nucleotides) under uncultured bacterium. RNAcentral's name for it is "partial 16S ribosomal RNA". It matches the Rfam family "Bacterial small subunit ribosomal RNA", at positions 524 to 776 of the family's 1533-position model. The record is from RNAcentral.
UACGGAGGGUGCAAGCGUUGUUCGGAAUUAUUGGGCGUAAAGCGCGCGCAGGCGGCUCUGCAAAUCCAGGGGUGAAAUGCCGGAGCUCAACUCCGAGCAUGCCCCGGAUACUGCGGAGCUGGAGACACGUAGAGGCAAGCGGAAUUCCGGGUGUAGCGGUGGAAUGCGUAGAGAUCCGGAAGAACACCGGAGGCGAAGGCGGCUUGCUGGGCGUGAUCUGACGCUGAGGCGCGAAAGCGUGGGGAGCGAACAGG